GUGUGCGCGCUUCAGGGCCAGUUUCAGCAGAACGCUCUAUUUUCUGCUUACUGCUAAAUCCUCCUUCUAGAUACACGUUUCAGUGAUAUUUUUCGUAAUUCCUUAGGGUUAAGGAAUGUAGCCCAUUUCUUCCCUUUCCAUACGCUACACCUCGACCUGACGUUUUGGGUUGUACCAAUUGUGCUUACUAAGGGGCCUUCAUAGGGUAAGCUGACGACGGCGGUAUAUAGGCGGGGGGAACAAGGAAAGGUGAGGUUGAACGGGGGUUAUCGGUUUCAGAACAGGCUCCUCUAGGUGGGUCUAAAGCACCGCCAAGUCCUUUGGGUUUUAAGCUGUUGCUCGUAGUUCCCAGGCGGAUAGUGGGUGUAAAAAAUUGACGGAUGACAGGCUGAACGGCAC
Molecule: ribosomal RNA, 399 nt
Filed under: Cephalopholis sexmaculata
Lineage: Eukaryota; Metazoa; Chordata; Actinopteri; Perciformes; Serranidae
Description: partial 12S ribosomal RNA
Source: RNAcentral